This 283-nucleotide ribosomal RNA is filed under the name uncultured bacterium. RNAcentral describes it as "partial 16S ribosomal RNA". It matches the Rfam family "Bacterial small subunit ribosomal RNA", at positions 773 to 1060 of the family's 1533-position model. The record is from RNAcentral.
GUGGAUUAGAUACCCUGGUAGUCCACGCCCUAAACGAUGAACACUCGCUGUUGGCGAUACACAGUCAGCGGCUAAGCGAAAGCGUUAAGUGUUCCACCUGGGGAGUACGCCCGCAAGGGUGAAACUCAAAGGAAUUGACGGGGGCCCGCACAAGCGGAGGAGCAUGUGGUUUAAUUCGAUGAUACGCGAGGAACCUUACCCGGGCUUGAAAGUUAGUGAAUGAUUUAGAGAUAGAUCAGUGAGCAAUCACACGAAACUAGGUGCUGCAUGGCCGUCGCCAACU